CGUAGGGUGCGAGCGUUAAUCGGAAUUACUGGGCGUAAAGCGUGCGCAGGCGGUUUUGUAAGACAGGCGUGAAAUCCCCGGGCUCAACCUGGGAACUGCGCUUGUGACUGCAAGGCUAGAGUACGGCAGAGGGGGGUGGAAUUCCACGUGUAGCAGUGAAAUGCGUAGAGAUGUGGAGGAACACCAAUGGCGAAGGCAGCCCCCCUGGGUCGAUACUGACGCUCAUGCACGAAAGCGUGGGUAGCAAACAGGAUUAGAUACCCUGGUAGCCCACGCCCUAAACGAUGUCAACUAGGUGUUGGGUGGGUAAAACCAUUUAGUACCGGAGCUAACGCGUGAAGUUGACCGCCUGGGGAGUACGGCCGCAAGGUUA
This 373-nucleotide ribosomal RNA is filed under the name uncultured organism. RNAcentral describes it as "bacterial SSU rRNA". It matches the Rfam family "Bacterial small subunit ribosomal RNA", at positions 526 to 896 of the family's 1533-position model. The record is from RNAcentral.